CUUUUAAUCAUCUCGUAAGGGUUCCCACCUCUUACCAUAUCUGUUCUUGGUUUCAAUUUGAGAAGAUCGACUUUGUGAAUCCCUUUUAUCUAUGAGAUUAGCGUUAGUUUCUCAAACGUGUGUGUUAUUUUCUGUUCCCUCUGUACCGGAGAUGAUCUAGGUUUCUGAAUUGUUCGAUUAGGAGAGUUUUAGAUCUGCAGAUUUGAGUUCGAGUUAAGCAGAUUUGAGGCUUGGUUCUAAUUGCAGGCCACGAGGAUUGGAAUUUCCUAUGAUCCCGCCUCAUAUUGCGACCGGAAAAGGGUGUGCCGGGUUACUUUGGUUGCUGUUGUUUGAAAUUUCAAGGUGGUUGGUUGGUGAGUUAAAUUUGUUGGGGGAGGGAUAAGGUUAUUGGUAUGAAGUUGCUGAUUGGUAUGGGUUUGAUGUUUGUGGCUGAGUUUACCUUUUGACUAUAGUGGAUUCGUGGGUAACUGGGAUGUGAUAAAAGGUUGUUGAUUGGGGGCUUCUAUGGGGAGAAUUGAGGUCAAGAAUACUAGGAAGCUGAAGAGAAGAUUAUCAUCUUGUUUUUAUGAGCCCGGUUUAUUUUUUGAUUUUCUUUCUUUGUUUGGUUGCUUUUAAGAGGUUAUGAUUGUAUAGGGUUUUUUCUGUUUUGACUUGCCAACAGAUAACCACAAUAGCUAAUUGUCGGUUUAUUGAUUAGAUUUUAUGUUUGGUCAUGAAAUAAAGGCACUACUAUACUAUU
This 739-nucleotide long non-coding RNA is filed under the name Helianthus annuus (common sunflower). Lineage: Eukaryota; Viridiplantae; Streptophyta; Magnoliopsida; Asterales; Asteraceae. The record is from RNAcentral.